ACAAAAGAAGUUAACAGCCCUAAAGAUUUCUACUAAUCUUCUGAAAAUUUCCCUCGAGAAGGAUUGCAUCAUUCCAUAAUCGAACACAAAAACUUUUAGUUAACAAAUCAGUACUAAACCAAAUCAGUGAGAAUAAGAACACAAAUGCAGAACCAAGAUCAACCAAUAACCUCAACUCCAAACACUUAAUCAAACUGAAAUGAUUCUAAAGUUUAAGCAAUCAAUCUCACCCCUGCUUCAACAUGAAACCAAUAGUCGAAUCACAUACUUUAAACAUCAAAUGGCUAGGCAUAUGUAGAGGAGAAAAAACGACAGGGGAACAACACAUGAAUUCUUAUAACCCGCCCUAAGUCAGAUUUUUAAAUUUUUAACAUAAGAACACCUCGGAGUUUCCUUUGAACAGCUAACAACCACGAACAGAAGCAUCGAGUAAGAGAAGACAAAAAUCAGAAUCAACAUGGUUUGAUAUAAGGAAUUCUCUUGCCAUUUAAGCUCGGUCGAUUAGAAAACAAACCAAUUUUGACAACCUAUGAUAAAGAAAACAAGCAGAGUGAACCUUCAAACCAUCUGGAAACCAACCCUUCACGUUUAUACACAGAAAAGAAAUCAAUUAUGGCCAGGUACUGAAAAAAGAGGUGGAUGAACACAUAGUUACACGAUUCGAGGGAUUCUGGAACUAAAAGACCAUAUGAACAUUAACAAGCACACAUACGAAAUCAUAGAGAAAAAAAACUAAAAUCUCAAUUACUACUUCAAACUUCAGCCCAUUGUAUAGUUUAUUCAGAGAUAGACUUACAACGGGAACUAAAGCGAAGAAGAGAAAUGAACCUGGAAUCAAGAAACUGAACUAACCCACACUGAAACUAAUCAAAGAAAAGCAAAUAGCAGCAGAACACCAGCUUUCGAGCCACAGCAGCCUCAAAUUUCUCAAGUGACUUCUUAGUGAUUUUCGUGUUGUUCUAUUAUCAGAAAUCAAAGAAUCAAUAAAACUGAAAAAGGAAAAGAAAGCAUCUCUCAAAAUCCUUUCCGAAAAAAAUCUCUCCAAAGUUAUAUGUCCCUUCUCCUCUAAUUUUUUCGAACCCCCCCCCCCCCCCCCCCCCCUCCUUUCCGAAAAAAAUCUCUCCAAAGUUAUAUGUCCCUUCUCCUCUAAUUUUUUCGAACCCCCCCCCCCCCUCUCCCACCAGAAAUCAAGCUUGGGUGUAUAUAUACCCUCUCUCAAAAUUUUUCCUUUUUGCCCAAGAAAUCUUGAAGUAAAUCUCUUCUAGAUUGAACCCUGACAGAUGGAAGGAGGGGAUUGAUCCUCAAAUCAAUCCGCGGCUCCCAUUUUCGGAGUUUAUUCUUCAGAAAAUCCAAAGCAAACCCAGUGCAUGAGAGAUGCAAGAAAAUGUCAGAAGCCGUUAGAAUCUUGCUGAGGUGGUGAGAUAAGGUGCGCGUGAGGUAAAAUUGAGCUCACCCGCCUGAAAUUUGUGAGUUUAGGCACGGCUAAAAUGGAGAAUAAAAUGGACAGGAGCUUCUGAGUUUGGGGACUUUACG
RNAcentral lists this long non-coding RNA (1533 nucleotides) under Nicotiana benthamiana. RNAcentral's name for it is "long non-coding RNA (NBEN_LNC033312)". The record is from RNAcentral. Lineage: Eukaryota; Viridiplantae; Streptophyta; Magnoliopsida; Solanales; Solanaceae.